AUGGCAAAAGCUAUACCAAAAAUUGGUUCACGUAAGAAAGUGCGUAUUGGUUUACGUAGGAAUGCACGUUUUAGUUUAAGGAAGAAUGCACAUAGAAUAACAAAAGGGGUUAUUCAUCUUCAAGCUAGUUUCAACAAUACCAUUAUAACUGUUACAGACCCACAAGGUCGGGUGGUUUUUUGGUCCUUGGCCGGUACUUGUGGAUUCAAAAGCUAUCCAUUGCAAGCAAUCAUCAGAGGGCGUCAUCGCUCACCCCUAGCUUCCCUGAAGCAAAAUGGAGUAAGCCAGACCCUCAAUUUAUUAAAUUGA
Molecule: ribosomal RNA, 309 nt
Filed under: Triticum aestivum (bread wheat)
Lineage: Eukaryota; Viridiplantae; Streptophyta; Magnoliopsida; Poales; Poaceae
Description: partial small subunit ribosomal RNA
Source: RNAcentral